GUCUAAGUAUCAUUAAGUGAAUACAUAGCUUAAUGAGGGGAACUCAGGGAACUGAAACAUCUAAGUACCUGAAGGAAGAGAAAGAAAUUCGAUUCCGUAAGUAGCGGCGAGCGAACGCGGAUUAGCCAAAACCAAUAAAGUUUUCUUUAUUGGGGUUGCGGACAUAUCAUAACGAAGAGGUAUCGUAAUUGAAGAGGUUUGGAAAGACCCACCACAGAAGGUAAUAGUCCUGUAUGUUAAACGAAAAGACUUUAG
This 255-nucleotide ribosomal RNA is filed under the name Clostridioides difficile. RNAcentral describes it as "partial 23S ribosomal RNA". It matches the Rfam family "Bacterial large subunit ribosomal RNA", at positions 142 to 398 of the family's 2925-position model. Lineage: Bacteria; Bacillati; Bacillota; Clostridia; Peptostreptococcales; Peptostreptococcaceae. The record is from RNAcentral.